UGAUUGAAGCUUGCUUCAAUUGAUGGCGACCGGCGCACGGGUGAGUAACACGUAUCCAACCUGCCGAUAACUCGGGGAUAGCCUUUCGAAAGAAAGAUUAAUACCUCAUGGUUUAUAUUUGCCGCAUGGCAGAUAUAAUAAAGAUUUAUCGGUAUAUGAUGGGGAUGCGUCCCAUUAGAUAGUAGGCGGGUAACGGCCUACCAAAGCGACGAUCAGUAGCCGGCCUGAGAGGGUGAACGGCCACAUUGGGACUGAGACACGGCCCAAACUCC
RNAcentral lists this ribosomal RNA (272 nucleotides) under uncultured bacterium. RNAcentral describes it as "partial 16S ribosomal RNA". It matches the Rfam family "Bacterial small subunit ribosomal RNA", at positions 70 to 339 of the family's 1533-position model. The record is from RNAcentral.